Drosophila sulfurigaster albostrigata is the source of this 291-nucleotide long non-coding RNA. RefSeq lists it as uncharacterized. The transcript has 2 exons. The record is from RefSeq and is a predicted model, not a curated record. NCBI's taxonomy places the organism in Eukaryota, Metazoa, Arthropoda, Insecta, Diptera, Drosophilidae.
UCUCCCGCUUCGCUGAGCUGAACCCACAUCCGUUCAUCGAUUUAGAUUAAGCUUUUAGUUUCAAAUUCAUUUGCUUCGCGAGCAGUCUAAGCUUUUAAAAUGGGCAGAAUAAAAAUUAAAGCAGUUGCCUUCUUAAUAGUUCUUUAAAUUUUCAUGGUGGUCUCAGCUGCAUUCGAAGAGACGUGUGGCUCCGACCGACAAAUGAAAGAAAUGUCCCGCGUUCAUAACUAUAAAACUGUGAAACCUUUGCUCGAAUAUUUUAGGCAAGUUCAAAAUGAGUAAAAAGACAAA